AAUGUGAACUAAUCUUGAAUAGGUGGAAGCAGGAGAAACUUUGUGAGCUUGCAGCGGUUGACGUCAAUCGAUCGUCAAAUUUGGCUUAGGGCGAAAGGACUAAUCGAACUAUCUAGUAGCUGGUUUUUUCCUUCCCUGCUGAACUAAGCAUAUCAAUAAGCGGAGGAAAAGAAACCAACAGGGACUGCCCUAGUAACGGCGAGUGAAGCGGCAACAGCUCAAAUUUGAAAUCUGGCUCUCUCAGAGUCCGAGUUGUAAUUUGCAGAGGGCGCUUUGGCUUUGGCAGCGGUCCAAGUUCCUUGCAACAGGACGUCACAGAGGGUGAGAAUCCCGUACGUGGUCGCUAGCUAUUGCCGUGUAAAGCCCCUUCGACGAGUCGAGUUGUUUGGGAAUGCAGCUCUAAAUGGGAGGUAAAUUUCUUCUAAAGCUAAAUAUUGGCCAGAGACCGAUAGCGCACAAGUAGAGUGAUCGAAAGAUGAAAAGCACUUUGGAAAGAGAGUCAAACAGCACGUGAAAUUGUUGAAAGGGAAGCGCUUGCAGCCAGACUUGCUUGCAGUUGCUCAUCCGGGCUUUUGCCCGGUGCACUCUUCUGCAGGCAGGCCAGCAUCAGUUUGGGCGGUGGGAUAAAGGUCUCUGACACGUUCCUUCCUUCGGGUUGGCCAUAUAGGGGAGACGUCAUACCACCAGCCUGGACUGAGGUCCGCGCAUCUGCUAGGAUGCUGGCGUAAUGGCUGUAAGCGGCCCGUCUUGAAACACGGACCAAGGAGUCUAACAUCUAUGCGAGUGUUUGGGUGUCAAGCCCGAGCGCGUAAUGAAAGUGAACGGAGGUGGGAACCCGCAAGGGCGCACCAUCGACCGAUCCUGAAGUUUACGGAAGGAUUUGAGUAAGAGCAUGGCUGUUGGGACCCGAAAGAUGGUGAACUAUGCUUGAAUAGGGUGAAGCCAGAGGAAACUCUGGUGGAGGCUCGCAGCGGUUCUGACGUGCAAAUCGAUCGUCAAAUUUGGGCAUAGGGC
This 1014-nucleotide ribosomal RNA is filed under the name Curvularia lunata. RNAcentral's name for it is "partial large subunit ribosomal RNA". The stretch from base 116 to 1014 matches the Rfam family "Eukaryotic large subunit ribosomal RNA", at positions 1 to 923 of the family's 3401-position model. Lineage: Eukaryota; Fungi; Ascomycota; Dothideomycetes; Pleosporales; Pleosporaceae. The record is from RNAcentral.